GUCAAUAAAAUAAUAACAAUAAGGCAAUAAGCAAAUUGCGAAGAAAAUGAGCGAAUUCCUAUCUGAAAAUAAUGCCUGUGGACAAAAUCUACUUAAUAUAGUAUCAGUAGGAAAUUCCAUUAUUGCUGAAAUCCUACGCCUGAAAAACUACGUGCCGAGCCUGUAUCGCUUGGAGACCACUGCCGACAGAAAGAAGUACGCUGAUAUAAUAUUAGAUUUUAGGUAUUUCAAAGUAGCUGAGGCACAAGAGUCAAAAAUAGAAAAUAAUGCAGAACUGAGCGACUUGGAUGAAGAAACACGCACCAAUCAUAUAACACUCAUCACUCGUUUUUACUUGGCAUUCCAAAGCAUACAUCACUAUGCCACCGAUUUGCAGCAGUACAUAGAGGAGCUAAACAGCGGCUACUAUAUACAACAGUCCCUGGAAACAGUCCUUCAGGAUGAAGAGGGCAAGCAAUUGCUGUGCGAGUCGCUCUAUCUAUUUGGUGUUAUACUGCUCAUUUUGGACUUUCAUAUACCUGGCGACGUGCGUGAGCGUCUUCUGGUGGCGUAUUAUCGUUACAGUGGUGGCGACAGCACGCCCGGAAGCGAUGAGAGCAAUAUCCACGAGGUUUGCUUGCUGCUUCGCUCCACAGGAUUUGUGCAGCCAGCCAGAGCACGUGCUAUGCAGGCUGCUGGCCAAGCUGCGCCUGCCACUGUGCAGAGAUAUCCUGAAGCAUAUUUUUCGCGCUUUCACUUUGAUAGCAAUUUUAUAGAUUUGGUUAUAGCACGUUUGCGUUGUGAUGAUAUCUACAAUCAAAUGGUCAUCUAUCCACAUCCUACCCAUCGAACUACAGCAUUUGCCUCGCAGGCGGUUUGUCUCUAUGUAUGUCUAUACUUUGCCCCCGAUUUGCUGCACAAUCAAAAUGCGCAAAUGCGGGAAAUUGUAGACAAAUUCUUCUGUGACAACUGGACGCUGUCUGUAUACAUGGGUAUCACUGUAAACUUGGUCGACGCUUGGGCGAACUUCAAAGCAGCAAGCAGCGCUAUAACAAAUGUAGUGUCACCAAGUGCCUUGCGUGUGCUUUGUCAACAACAGCGCGAAGGUCUGCAAAAAACGUUGCUCAAAACGAAGGAGAUUGUUCGGGAGGGAGUUCUGAGCGAAGGAUUCGUCCUGGAGCAUGCCAAUAACAUAAUUGUGCUCAUGCGGCAGGCUAAUGUGCUGCUGCGCUGGCAUUGCCUGCACACCAGUGCGGCUGUGCUUGUUAUAUCUGAACAGGCGGCGACUGCAGUACGCCAAUUGGUGCUAAAUGAACUGCAGUUUGAGCGAGACAAGAUUUACACGUUAAUGCUUAACUGUGGCCAAAUGGAGCUAAGCUUCAGGGAGUUGUUGGCUGAAGUGCAAAAGCAACGCACGCAUAACUGGAGUACAAGUCGCGAUGAGGCCAUGCAGUAUCUACGUGAGCUUAGUGAAGUAUUUGCCGGUAAACGGGCGCUUAGCAAAAUUGAUGUUAAUCCACAGUUGGAGCAGUGGUUUGGCCAGGUGGCGCAACGUUUGCAGAAGCUGGAUAUAACAAAGCCUCAGAAAUCGGGAAGACUUAUUAUACAAGUAAUGCAGGCGCUGGAUGAAGUACAAGAGUAUCAUAAUCUCUAUGCCAAUAUGCUGGUGAAGCAGCAAUUGCAGGAAACAAGGGAUUUAUUAAACCGCAUGGCACAGCUGCUCAAUCUAAAAGAAGAUAUGGAAAUUCAAAUUCAAAUGAUAAGCGACUUUAGCUAUGCCUGGCAGUUACUUCAGCGUGACUUUACGCCGAUUAUGCAGGAUCAUAUCAAGCGUCAGCCCAAUGCUGUGAUUGCCAUACGUGCUGUAUUUCUUAAGCUUGCCAGUACGCUGGAAUUGCCUUUGAUGCGCAUUAAUCAGGCGAAAAGUGAAGAUCUGGUGUCGGUGUCCAAUUAUUAUAGCACCGAGUUGGCCAACUUUUUGCGACGCGUCCUGCAAAUUGUGCCCGAGACCAUGUUCAAUAUACUUGCUCGUAUAAUACAGCUGCUGACCAAUGUUAUCAAGGAGUUUCCCACGCGUUUAGAGAAGGACAAGCUGCGCGACUAUGCUCAGUUUGAGGAGCGCGCCAAAGUGGCGCAACUGACCAAUGAUAUAGCUAUCUUUACGAAAGGUAUUCUCAUGAUGAAAACCACUUUGGUGGGCGUUAUUGAGCUUGAUCCCAAACAGCUGCUGGAGGAUGGAAUACGCAAGGAGCUGGUCAAUCAUUUGGCCAAUGCUUACAAUCUAGGCCUUAUUUUUACGCCUGAGAAGGGCAAGUCGAAUGUACAGCUGCUACAAAGCAAGCUGCAUGCGUUGGGCAAAACCAUAGAAGGAUAUCGCAGAUCUUUUGAGUAUAUAGAGGAUUAUUUGCGUGUGCAAGGCUUGAGCAUAUUGCUGGAGGAAUCACAGCGCAUCAUCAACUACAAUGUGGAAAAGGAGUGCAAUUGCUUUUUGCGCAACAAGGUGCAGGAGUGGCAGUCACGCUAUCAAUCUCUAACUAUACCCAUACCCAACUUUAUGCCGCUGCAAGGAGAUUCCAGCAAGUCGGACAACUUCAUAGGCCGCCUGGCACACAUGCUGCUGGUCUGUACCGAACCACGUCAUACUAUUUAUAUAGAUUUGAAGUGCAGCUGGUAUGACAAGCGGUCGCCACAUCAAGAGCAGCUUGCUGGCGGUAGUUUCUUUAGCAUGCUGCGCGAGGCAAUGGCACCAGCUGGUCUGGUGGGGCUGCAACAUCUCUAUGCGCACAUGCUAACGCAUGAGAUGAAGCAAAAUGUGGAAAGACUGCAGAAGAAUCUAACAACAGAUCGCAUGUGGUGCGAGGCUCUAAGUGCUAUGACGAAAGAAAUAGAAUCGCGUGACUUUCCAGGCGAAAUCGCCAAGCAGCCUCUGAAGUAUUAUCAAAACUAUACGCAGCGUUGGCUGAAAGUCUGGCCUACCCUACUAGACUUUGUGUUAUCCGUGGGACAAAAACAGCUGCUACGUCAACAAAUCGCCAGCGAACUAAGCUACAGCAGCAAAUGCGAUGCCAAGCUGCUGGAGAAUACCACAGAUACACUCAAUCGUGCUUUAAUGGUGGAGCUGAACAGCAACACUAAACUUUGCACAGAGCAGGGUGUAGGCAUGCUUACGGCUCUCAAUGAAAUGCUUUAUUAUACGGGCAACUUUGAGCCUCUGGACCAGAUCUUUAUAACCACUAAGAACACGCAUCAUAUGUCGUUAUUUCUAUUUCUGUUUAGCAUUACACAUGUCUCACGCUUGCAGCACUCCUCCAAUACAGACUGUUUACUUCCUAAAUCUCCCAAAGAUACCAUUGACGCAGUGCCUCUGAUCUUAGGUUUGCUGACCAUACUACAGCAGUUUCACAAAAAUGUCAAAAUGCUUUAUAUCUCGUACAUGUGUCAAUAUGUUGUGGUGGUCGCAGAGGCACAGCUGCUAGAUAAAGAAGUGAUUGGCACUGAGGUGGUUACUAUGAUACAUUUUCUGCAAACAUUCCUGCGCUUGGCCAACCUUCCGCUGAGUGUGCUGGAGCAGCGUAUACCUAAUAUUAUUUUGAGUGAAUAUGAUUAUCUGGCCACGCCAGUAAAGUUUAAUAUUAUAUUUCAUUGGACCACAAAAGUUGUGGUGGUAUGAUGGUGAAUGGGUUACGCGUCCGAAUGGCUCAACGUAUUGGCAAGAAACAAAAACUGAAUUAUUCGACUGGCGAAUUCUGUACUUAAUUUUAUUAUCAAUUGGAGCCUUUACUCUUUUGGGAGGGUUGUUGCAAAUGGUGGGACGUUUUUUUAAGAUAGCUACUCUCCUUAUAAUAGGUGUCAUUAUUGGUACCAUUGGUAUUUUUUUUUCGACAGGUUUAUUUUUAAUCCCCUUCGUGCUUCAAAUUGUCUUUUUAAUAUGGACGAUCAGAUACGUCGAUCAGGUCCUUGGGAAAGGAACGAAAUAAUGUAUUUUUAUAUGUUAAUACUUGAUUAACCAAUAUUUUCAAAACAUUGAACUUAAAAAUAAAAUUA
RNA transcript from Drosophila busckii, 4023 nucleotides. It is a transcript of the gene named WASH complex subunit homolog 5, with no coding region annotated. Lineage: Eukaryota; Metazoa; Arthropoda; Insecta; Diptera; Drosophilidae. The transcript is spliced from 10 exons. The record is from RefSeq and is a predicted model, not a curated record.